This is a long non-coding RNA of Erinaceus europaeus (western European hedgehog), 1371 nucleotides long. RefSeq lists it as uncharacterized. The transcript is spliced from 5 exons. NCBI's taxonomy places the organism in Eukaryota, Metazoa, Chordata, Mammalia, Eulipotyphla, Erinaceidae. The record is from RefSeq and is a predicted model, not a curated record.
UCUUACACAGGUCCUUGCGCUUUGCACCAUGUGUGCUUAACCCGCUGCGCUACCGCCUGACUCACAGUGUUUAUGGUUUUUAAAACUGUUUAGUGUGUAGAUAAAUAUAGACCAGUUAGGUGCAGUGUUCACAAUCACAGAUAUAUAAAGUUUUCACUAGGAAAUAAAGAGGGCAGGAUGUUCUUUCUUCAGUUGAGGAUUAUGUGCUCAUCAGUGGUCAGGGCUAGGGGAAUGUUGUUGCUUAUGAGAUAUAAAAUCAUUGUUACAAUGGAAUACUACUCAGCUAUAAAAAAUGGUGACUUCACCAUUUUCAGCCUAUCUUGGAUGGACCUUGAAAAAUUCAUGUUAAGUGAAAUAAGCCAGAAGCAGAAGGAUGAAUAUGGGAUGAUCUCACUCUCAGUCAGAAGUUGAAAAAAAAGAUCAAAAGAGAAAACACAUGUAGAACCUGAACUGGAGUUGGUGUAUUGCACCAAAGUAAAAGACUCUGGGGUGGGGUGGGUGGGGAGAAUACAGGUCCAAGAAGGCUGACAGAGGACCUAGUGGGGGUUGUGUUGUUAUAUGGAAAACUGGGAAAUGUGAUGCAUGUACAAACUAUUGUAUAUACUGUGGAAUGUAAAAUAUUAAUUGCCCAAUAAAGAGAUUUUUAAUUUUUUUUUAAAUCAGUGUUAUCUCCAAUGACUUAACUAGUUCAAGGAUUCAAAUGCAAGGAGAGCAUUGCAGAUCAUAGCAAGCUUUUAUUUUUUAAGAUUUUCUAUUAGCGAUUUAAUAACGAUUGACGGGAUUGUAAAAUAACAGUGGUACAACUUUUUUUUAUCCUCUCAUGGGCUCUGUACUACUGAGAAUGGACACACCCCAGCUGGGCUCGGCCGUGACUUCACCACAGAGAACCGUGGAGAUCAGCGUGAGUGAUAGUUGGAGGCACCUCGGAUGGUUAAACCCUCUCUCAAUCAUGAAGAUACUUCGCCUUCUUAUAGGACUGGAACCCAUUAGGCUACAGUCGGCCUCAGCUACCCUGCUUCAGUCUCUGGUUCCUGAUGAAGAUGGUGGCAUGUGAAGUCCCCGGUACGUAAGGGAGGAAGCCCUGGUGCGGCUGCAUGAGGCAAGGCCCCUUCUGUCCCCCUGACCACCGACGGGGGAGACCCCAGCUCACUGGAGUUUGUCAAAGAAUCAAUCAACUCUGCAAGUAAUCUGUGAAUUCAGCAGUUUUGUGUAGGUAGAUGUGCUUCAACUGAACAAUAUAUACCCUUGUUUCUAUUGAUUCCACCCUGUUUUCCUCAGGUGUUACCUCGGGGUCUGUCCAUGUCCCCUUAUGCUAUUCUUCUUAAAUCAUAAAAAUAUUUCAUGAAUUUGCCUCUGGUUUGUAAUUUUGAC